This 488-nucleotide ribosomal RNA is filed under the name uncultured bacterium. Its description in RNAcentral is "bacterial SSU rRNA". It matches the Rfam family "Bacterial small subunit ribosomal RNA", at positions 30 to 507 of the family's 1533-position model. The record is from RNAcentral.
AUUGAACGCUAGCGGCAUGCUUAACACAUGCAAGUCGAACGGCAGCGCGGGGAGCUUGCUCCCUGGCGGCGAGUGGCGGACGGGUGAGUAACGCGUAGGAAUCUACCUUAUAGUGGGGGACAACCCGGGGAAACUCGGGCUAAUACCGCAUAAUCUCUACGGAGCAAAGCAGGGGACCUUCGGGCCUUGCGCUAUUAGAUGAGCCUGCGUUGGAUUAGCUUGUUGGUGGGGUAAUGGCCUACCAAGGCGACGAUCCAUAGCUGGUCUGAGAGGACGAUCAGCCACACUGGGACUGAGACACGGCCCAGACUCCUACGGGAGGCAGCAGUGGGGAAUAUUGGACAAUGGGGGCAACCCUGAUCCAGCAAUGCCGCGUGUGUGAAGAAGGCCUUCGGGUUGUAAAGCACUUUCAGUGGGGAAGAAAGGCCUAAGGUUAAUACCCUUAGGAGUUGACGUUACCCACAGAAGAAGCACUGGCUAACUCUGUG